Molecule: ribosomal RNA, 253 nt
Filed under: uncultured bacterium
Lineage: Bacteria
Description: partial 16S ribosomal RNA
Rfam family: Bacterial small subunit ribosomal RNA
Source: RNAcentral
UACGUAGGGUGCAAGCGUUGUCCGGAAUUAUUGGGCGUAAAGAGCUCGUAGGCCGUCUGUCGCGUCUGCUGUGAAAACUCAGGGCUUAACCCUGAGCUUGCAGUGGGUACGGGCAGACUAGAGUGCGGUAGGGGAGACUGGAAUUCCUGGUGUAGCGGUGAAAUGCGCAGAUAUCAGGAGGAACACCGGUGGCGAAGGCGGGUCUCUGGGCCGUAACUGACGCUGAGGAGCGAAAGCAUGGGGAGCGAACAGG